CCCAAACCAAUAAAGUUUUCUUUAUUGGGGUUGCGGACAUAUCAUAACGAAGAGGUAUCGUAAUUGAAGAGGUUUGGAAAGACCCACCACAGAAGGUAAUAGUCCUGUAUGUUAAACGAGAAGACUUUAGGUAUGAUCCAGAGUACCACGGGACACGUGAAACCCUGUGGGAAGCAGGAGGGACCACCCUCCAAGGCUAAAUACUACCUAGUGACCGAUAGCGUAUAGUACCGUGAGGGAAAGGUGAAAAGAACCCCGGGAGGGGAGUGAAAUAGAACCUGAAACCCUGCACUUACAAGCUGUGGAAGCACAUUUCUUGUGUGACCGCGUACUUUUUGUAGAACGGGCCAACGAGUUACGUUAAGUAGCAAGGUUAAGCACUUAAGGUG
RNAcentral lists this ribosomal RNA (389 nucleotides) under Clostridioides difficile. RNAcentral's name for it is "bacterial LSU rRNA". It matches the Rfam family "Bacterial large subunit ribosomal RNA", at positions 268 to 660 of the family's 2925-position model. The record is from RNAcentral. Lineage: Bacteria; Bacillati; Bacillota; Clostridia; Peptostreptococcales; Peptostreptococcaceae.